This 75-nucleotide transfer RNA is filed under the name Prymnesium parvum. It matches the Rfam family "tRNA", at positions 7 to 64 of the family's 71-position model. From Rfam's summary of the family: Transfer RNA (tRNA) molecules are approximately 80 nucleotides in length. Their secondary structure includes four short double-helical elements and three loops (D, anti-codon, and T loops). The record is from RNAcentral. Lineage: Eukaryota; Haptophyta; Prymnesiales; Prymnesiaceae.
CGGGGUGGCCGAGUGGUCCAAGGCGUCAGCUUUAGGCGCUGAUCCCGCGAGGGGCGCGGGUUCGAACCCCGUCGG